UCUGCAGUCGAGCGACUGAUUAGAAGCUUGCUUCUAUGACGUUAGCGGCGGACGGGUGAGUAACACGUGGGCAACCUGCCUGUAAGACUGGGAUAACUUCGGGAAACCGAAGCUAAUACCGGAUAGGAUCUUCUCCUUCAUGGGAGAUGAUUGAAAGAUGGUUUCGGCUAUCACUUGCAGAUGGGCCCGCGGUGCAUUAGCUAGUUGGUGAGGUAACGGCUCACCAAGGCAACGAUGCAUAGCCGACCUGAGAGGGUGAUCGGCCACACUGGGACUGAGACACGGCCCAGACUCCUACGGGAGGCAGCAGUAGGGAAUCUUCCGCAAUGGACGAAAGUCUGACGGAGCAACGCCGCGUGAGUGAUGAAGGCUUUCGGGUCGUAAAACUCUGUUGUUAGGGAAGAACAAGUACAAGAGUAACUGCUUGUACCUUGACGGUACCUAACCAGAAAGCCACGGCUAACUACGUGCCAGCAGCCGCGGUAAUACGUAGGUGGCAAGCGUUAUCCGGAAUUAUUGGGCGUAAAGCGCGCGCAGGCGGUUUCUUAAGUCUGAUGUGAAAGCCCACGGCUCAACCGUGGAGGGUCAUUGGAAACUGGGGAACUUGAGUGCAGAAGAGAAAAGCGGAAUUCCACGUGUAGCGGUGAAAUGCGUAAAGAUGUGGAGGAACACCAGUGGCGAAAGCGGCUUUUUGGUCUGUAACUGACCCUGAAGCGCGAAAGCGUGGGGAGCAAACAGGAUUAAAUACCCUGGUAGUCCACCCCCUAAACGAUGAGUGCUAAGUGUUAGAGGGUUUCCCCCCUUUAGUGCUGCAGCUAACGCAUUAAACACUCCCCCUGGGGAGUACCGU
This 850-nucleotide ribosomal RNA is filed under the name uncultured bacterium. Its description in RNAcentral is "bacterial SSU rRNA". It matches the Rfam family "Bacterial small subunit ribosomal RNA", at positions 54 to 886 of the family's 1533-position model. The record is from RNAcentral.